GGAAGCGCUUUUGGGGUCGCGGUCCGGACUUUGGGCGGGGGGUCCGGCCCCAGGACAGUUUUACCGCAUUCCGUCCACUUCCGAUUCCUUCAUGGAUCCGGCGUCUGCACUUUACAGAGGUCCAAUCACGCGGACCCAGAACCCCAUGGUGACCGGGACCUCAGUCCUCGGCGUUAAGUUCGAGGGCGGAGUGGUAAUUGCCGCAGACAUGCUGGGAUCCUACGGCUCCUUGGCUCGUUUCCGCAACAUCUCUCGCAUUAUGCGAGUCAACAACAGUACCAUGCUGGGUGCCUCUGGGGACUACGCUGAUUUCCAGUAUUUGAAGCAAGUUCUCGGCCAGAUGGAUUGAUGAGGAGCUUCUGGGAGAUGGACACAGCUAUAGUCCUAGAGCUAUUCAUUCAUGGCUGACCAGGGCCAUGUACAGCCGGCGCUCGAAGAUGAACCCUUUGUGGAACACCAUGGUCAUCGGAGGCUAUGCUGAUGGAGAGAGGUUCAUAUGAAUGCAAAUAACUUAUUUCCUUUACCACCCAACCUAGUACCUGUGUAGUAUCUCUUCUGUCUCUUCUCCCCAAGUGAAUCCCACUUUAACUCAGACCCCAUGGUCCCCUUCUUCAGCUAAGAUGAACCUAAGGUGAAAUGAGUUUUGACCCAUUGUGUCCUGUUAGCUUCCUCGGUUAUGUGGACAUGCUUGGUGUAGCCUAUGAAGCCCCUUCGCUGGCCACUGGUUAUGGUGCAUACUUGGCUCAGGUAAGUAGUAUGUCUAGAGGUGGGGGAAAGGGAAGACAAAAGGAGAUGGAUUAGUAUUUGUCUGCUUUUCUCCUGAAAUUCUGAUAUGUGGGAUGGGCUGGGAUCGCUAUUACUGGGCAGAUGGUUUUCUUUGUAGUCUGGGGGCUGUAGGUGUUGACACUGAUUCUAGUGACAAGAUGACAUGUCUGGGAGUCAGUAGACAUGCAAAGAAAGGACACCCUAGAACUUCUUGAAGUGGCUCUUUAGCUUAUUUUGUAAGCAGAGUUCAUUCUGGUGAGGCAAGAGGUAGAAUGUCAUCUUUUCACUCUUUAAUGCUUUUUAUACCAUAGAUUUGAGACAACUAGCCUGUUAUUCAGCCCAAUAUCUCCCAUGGUUUCCCCCCAAUCUCCCUAGCCUCUGCUGCGAGAAGUUCUGGAGAAGCAGCCAGUGCUGAGCCAGACCGAGGCCCGCGACCUAGUAGAACGCUGCAUGCGAGUGCUGUACUACCGAGAUGCCCGUUCUUACAACCGGUUUCAAAUUGCCACUGUAACCGAAAAAGGUGUUGAAAUAGAGGGACCAUUGUCUGCAGAGACCAACUGGGAUAUUGCCCACAUGAUCAGGUGAGUAAUACGGAAAAAAUUGAUGACAGAUUUGGGAGGUCUUUGGCUUACACUAAGCUGGGCUUUUCUGGGAGGCUCACCCAGGAAAAUUCUCUGGGUGGAGAGUUUUGGUUGGACGGUACAGCUAUUUUUAGGAAUUGAUCCCUUUACGCUUCACAAUUUUAUUAUUCUGUCUUUUUUAGUGGCUUUGAAUGAAAUACAGAUGCAUUAUCCAGAACUGAAGUUGCCCUACUUUUAACUUUGAACUUGGCUGGUUCAAAGAUAGACUCUUCUUUUGUAAAGUAAAUAAAUUCUUCAAAA
RNAcentral lists this small RNA (1646 nucleotides) under Pongo abelii (Sumatran orangutan). Its description in RNAcentral is "retained intron". Lineage: Eukaryota; Metazoa; Chordata; Mammalia; Primates; Hominidae. The record is from RNAcentral.